Long non-coding RNA from Beta vulgaris subsp. vulgaris (sugar beet), 1840 nucleotides. RefSeq lists it as uncharacterized. The transcript has 6 exons. The record is from RefSeq and is a predicted model, not a curated record. NCBI's taxonomy places the organism in Eukaryota, Viridiplantae, Streptophyta, Magnoliopsida, Caryophyllales, Amaranthaceae.
GGAUUUGAUUGAGGUAGGACGUAGAUUUGAUUUAAGUUUAACAUCUCUCCUCUCCUUUUCAUUUUCUCGCCCAUCCCCUCUUGCCAUCCUACUAUCCCCUCCAUUCUCACUUUCUAAAUCUUCUUCGUCUCUCUCCUCUUUUUUCUGUAUCUCACCAUUUUUUCUCUCUCUUCUUUUUGCUUCAAGAAGCAAUUCAAGCGGUGAGAGCUCGGUGAAAUCAGUUAGCAAACUGCAAAACCCCCUUCAGACGUUCGAUAAUAGGACAGUUAUUAUGAUUUUUUUAGGGAAACUGUGAGGAGGAAGAAAAGAAUGUAGGAGGAAGAAAAAUUAGGGAAUCUAUGGUGGUUGUGGUGAGGAGAGAGAGAGGUGCAGUAAGAGGAGCAGGUGGAGCGAAGGAGGAGACCGAAUGAAGCAGGGAGAAGGAAGAAAAAUGGAGGAGGUAUGAGCAAAUUUUUCUCUGCCUUAAUUUUUCAAUUUUCUUUAGUUGGAUUUAGGAGUGAGGAGAGAGAAAUCCAUUUUUUGCGUCGUCAAAUGGUGUUGGCAGUCAAGGUGGAGGAGAUGGUGAGGAAGAUAAAGAAUUUUAUACUAUAUUUGGAAUUAUUCAGGAAAAUCCCUAAUUUGAUGUUUUAUUGUGCUAAGGCAGCAGAGAAAUCCAACGUUUUCCUCUGAAGCGUGCUAGUUUGCUCUAUUUUUUUCUUCGAUAUUUUCAGACGUGAAACCAAACAGUCUUCUUGAAUUUCAGUUUUCGCUGAUAAAUUUGAAUUUUCCUGUUAAAUUUAUUUGCGGUUUACUAGGGUUUUGUUCUGGAGGGCAAAAGAAGCAUUUCUCAACUGGAAUGUAUAGUUGGGCUAUAAAGAAACUACAUGACUUCUCAUGGAUACUGACAAAGUGACAAAUCUGGGGUAACAUUCGAGCAAGGUGUCUUGGAUGAAACGUGAGACAUGGUUUUCACAUCAUUUAGUGAAAAGUGUGAGAACAUUAUUCAAGCUCCCAUCUGCUGAAAUUUACUCACGGUAAAGACGAGACAGGGGUUGUAUAUAUAGCAAGUACCUAAACAUUUUCUUCUACGCAAAAGCAAAAGAGAUGGGCUCUUAUGUUAUCUUAUGACACGUCUCAAGUUUGAUGGCAUUCAUUCUUGCAGGUUAGCUUAUUAUAUUCAUGGAUUAGGAUUUAAGGAUAAUACACCUCAUGAGUAUCAUAAAAUAUAUGGGUGUGGAUUAUUAACUCUCCAUUUUUAGUUGAUAUGAGAGUAAUCAUCAUUUUUUUCAUGCAAAUUGGUCCUCCCAACUCCCUAUCAAGGAUCCAAUAUCUUACUUGGAACUUUGGGUUACAAAGUCCAAAAAAGGGAAUGCCUUGUAGAUUUAGGUCUAGCACCCUAUUUUGAGACUAGGUUUAACACUUUUUUUCCAAUUAGGUCACUUCAUAUUGAAGGCGAUAAUCUGCUGGUAGUUAAUGCUGUGCUAGGGAAAUGUGCUAUUUCCAGGCAGAUUGAUCACCUAAUACGAGACAUUCGGGUCCUUCUCCGCUCUUUCUCCUCAUGGACACUGCAGCAUAUUUAUCGCGAGGCGAAUCAAGUAGCUGAUUGGGUUGCAAAUGUGGGUCACUUGGUCGAUUCUUCUUUUGUAAUAGCUUCUUGUCCUAAUUCGGCUUUACAUUCCAUCCUUGUAAACGAUAUAUUAGGUCCACCCCUAGUGCGGAGGGUCUCUUAAUAUGCUUUCUUCUUAUCUAAAAAAAAAAAAAAAAAUUAGGUUUAUUAUUAAUGAUAUUUUUUCUUCCUGUCAAAAAAAAUGAACACACUCUUGUCCUUUUGUGUUGCUAAAAUUUGUGUUCCUGGAAGCCA